UUAGUUGCGCGGACGGGUGAGUAACGCGUAGGAAUUUAUCCUGAGAUGGUGGAUAACCCUGGGAAACUGGGGCUAAUACAGCAUAAUGACUGAGGUCCAAAGCUUUAGGGCGUCUUGGGAGAAGCCUGCGUUUGAUUAGCUAGUUGGUGGGGUAAGAGCCUACCAAGGCGAUGAUCAAUAGCUGGUUUGAGAGGAUGAUCAGCCACACUGGGACUGAGACACGGCCCAGACUCCUACGGGAGGCAGCAGUGGGGAAUAUUGGACAAUGGGGGCAACCCUGAUCCAGCAAUGCCGCGUGCGUGAAGAAGGUCUUCGGAUUGUAAAGCGCUUUCAUUAGGGACGAUGAUGACGGUACCUAAGAAGAACCCCCGGCUAACUUCGUGCCAGCAGCCGCGGUAAUACGAAGGGGGCUAGCGUUGCUCGGAAUGACUGGGCCUAAAGGGC
This 444-nucleotide ribosomal RNA is filed under the name uncultured bacterium. RNAcentral describes it as "bacterial SSU rRNA". It matches the Rfam family "Bacterial small subunit ribosomal RNA", at positions 90 to 568 of the family's 1533-position model. The record is from RNAcentral.